UGUGCAGGUUCCGCUGGUUUCUCUUAGU
Molecule: non-coding RNA, 28 nt
Filed under: Mus musculus (house mouse)
Lineage: Eukaryota; Metazoa; Chordata; Mammalia; Rodentia; Muridae
Source: RNAcentral